RNAcentral lists this ribosomal RNA (253 nucleotides) under uncultured bacterium. RNAcentral's name for it is "partial 16S ribosomal RNA". It matches the Rfam family "Bacterial small subunit ribosomal RNA", at positions 524 to 776 of the family's 1533-position model. The record is from RNAcentral.
UACGUAGGGGGCAAGCGUUGUCCGGAAUUAUUGGGCGUAAAGAGCUCGUAGGCGGUUUGUCGCGUCUGCUGUGAAAACUGGAGGCUCAACCUCCAGCCUGCAGUGGGUACGGGCAGACUAGAGUGCGGUAGGGGAGAUUGGAAUUCCUGGUGUAGCGGUGGAAUGCGCAGAUAUCAGGAGGAACACCGAUGGCGAAGGCAGAUCUCUGGGCCGUAACUGACGCUGAGGAGCGAAAGCAUGGGGAGCGAACAGG